Molecule: small nucleolar RNA, 140 nt
Organism: Mustela putorius furo (domestic ferret)
Lineage: Eukaryota; Metazoa; Chordata; Mammalia; Carnivora; Mustelidae
Source: Ensembl
ACUCCCAUUUGACUACCACAUUUUCUCCCAAUAAUAGAUUUUGUUGGCUAUGCUUGUGGGAUAGAUUAAAAUUGCCAUGAUCUGAAGAGGGAGGACUUACUCGUGUCCUCCUCCUAUAUGAAAUGGCUGAACAGAAAAUU